UACGAAUUCAUNGGUCCGGUGAAGUGUUCGGAUCGCUCCGACGUGGGCGGUUCGCUGCCCGCGACGUAGCGAGAAGUCCACUGAACCUUAUCAUUUAGAGGAAGGAGAAGUCGUAACAAGGUUUCCGUAGGUGAACCUGCGGAAGGAUCAUUG
Molecule: ribosomal RNA, 153 nt
Filed under: Streptocarpus meyeri
Lineage: Eukaryota; Viridiplantae; Streptophyta; Magnoliopsida; Lamiales; Gesneriaceae
Description: partial 18S ribosomal RNA
Rfam family: Eukaryotic small subunit ribosomal RNA
Source: RNAcentral